UAGCUCAGAUGGUAAAGCGUCUGCCUGCAAUGCAGGAGACCCGGGUUCGAUCCCUGG
This 57-nucleotide transfer RNA is filed under the name Ovis aries (sheep). It matches the Rfam family "tRNA", at positions 8 to 63 of the family's 71-position model. From Rfam's summary of the family: Transfer RNA (tRNA) molecules are approximately 80 nucleotides in length. The record is from Rfam by way of RNAcentral. Lineage: Eukaryota; Metazoa; Chordata; Mammalia; Artiodactyla; Bovidae.